This 772-nucleotide ribosomal RNA is filed under the name uncultured archaeon. RNAcentral's name for it is "bacterial SSU rRNA". It matches the Rfam family "Archaeal small subunit ribosomal RNA", at positions 538 to 1308 of the family's 1478-position model. The record is from RNAcentral.
UUUUCGGUUAAAUCCCAUGUGCUCAACGCAUGGGCUGCCGAAAAUACUGCAUAGCUAGGGAGUGGGAGAGGUAGACGGUACUCAAUAGGAAGGGGUAAAAUCCUUUGAUCUAUUGAUGACCACCUGUGGCGAAGGCGGUCUACCAGAACACGUUCGACGGUGGGGGAUGAAAGCUGGGGGAGCAAACCGGAUUAGAUACCCGGGUAGUCCCAGCUGUAAACGAUGCAGACUCGAUGAUGCAUUGGCAUAUAGCCAGUGCAGUGUCGCAGGGAAGCCGUUAAGUCUGCCGCCUGGGAAGUACGUACGCAAGUAUGAAACUUAAAGGAAUUGGCGGGGGAGCACCACAAGGGGUGAAGCCUGCGGUUCAAUUGGAGUCAACGCCAGAAAUCUUACCCGGAGAGACAGCAGAAUGAAGGUCAAGCUGAAGACUUUACCAGACAAGCUGAGAGGUGGUGCAUGGCCGUCGCCAGCUCGUGCCGUGAGAUGUCCUGUUAAGUCAGGUAACGAGCGAGAUCCUCGCCACUAGUUGCUAUCAUUAUUCUCAGGAAUAGUGGGGCGAAUUAGUGGGACUGCCGUUGUUAAAACGGAGGAAGGAGGGGGCUACGGCAGGUCAGUAUGCCCCGAAACUCUGGGGCCACACGCGGGCUGCAAUGGUAGCGACAAUGAGCUCCAAACUCGAAAGAGAGUGGCAAUCUCUAAACGCUACCACAGUUAUGACUGAGGGCUGUAACUCGCCCUCACGAAUAUGGAAUCCCUAGUAACCGCGUUCAUA